AUUGAACGCUGGCGGCAGGCCUAACACAUGCAAGUCGAGCGAGCGGCGGACGGGUGCGUAAUGUAUGGGGACUGCCCGAUAGAGGGGGAUAACUACUGGAAACGGUGGCUAAUACCGCAUACUAUCGGAUAACCCAUAUGGGAUUAGCUAGUAGGUGGGGUAAAGGCUCACCUGGGCGACGAUCUCUAGCUGGUCUGAGAGGAUGAUCAGCCACACCGGGACUGUGACACGGCCCCGACUCCUACGGAGGCAGCAGUGGGGAAUAUUGCACAAUGGGCGCAAGCCUGAUGCAGCCAUGCCGCGUGUAUGACGAUGGCCUUAGGGUUGUAAAGUACUUUCAGCGGGGAGGCGUUACCCGCAGAAGAAGCACCGGCUAACUCCGUGCCAGCAGCCGCGGUAAUUC
RNAcentral lists this ribosomal RNA (403 nucleotides) under uncultured bacterium. RNAcentral's name for it is "partial 16S ribosomal RNA". It matches the Rfam family "Bacterial small subunit ribosomal RNA", at positions 30 to 526 of the family's 1533-position model. The record is from RNAcentral.